UACAGAGGGAGCAAGCGUUAUCCGGAAUGAUUGGGCGUAAAGCGUCUGUAGGUGGUCUAGAAAGUCUACUGUCAAAUACCAAGGCUCAACCUUGGGCAGGCAGUAGAGUACUUUUAGACUUGAGUGCGGUAGAGGUAGAGGGAAUCCCUAGCGUAACAGUGAAAUGUGUAGAUUUUAGGGAGAACACCAGCGGCGAAGGCGCUCUACUGGGCCGAGACUGACACUGAGAGACGAAAGCUAAGGGAGAGAAUAGGAUUAGAUACCCUAGUAUUCUUAGCUGUAAACGAUGGAAACUAAGUGCUGCCGAAUGCAGUGCUGUAGCUAACGCGUUAAGUUUCCCGCCUGGGGAGUAUGCUCGCAAGAGUGAA
RNAcentral lists this ribosomal RNA (368 nucleotides) under uncultured bacterium. RNAcentral's name for it is "bacterial SSU rRNA". It matches the Rfam family "Bacterial small subunit ribosomal RNA", at positions 524 to 898 of the family's 1533-position model. The record is from RNAcentral.